This is a long non-coding RNA of Pipra filicauda (Wire-tailed manakin), 1328 nucleotides long. RefSeq lists it as uncharacterized. The record is from RefSeq and is a predicted model, not a curated record. Lineage: Eukaryota; Metazoa; Chordata; Aves; Passeriformes; Pipridae. The transcript is spliced from 2 exons.
GUCCGCUCAGUUCCCUGUUUUCUUCUAGUGGAUUCCCACCUCGAGUGCUGUGCCCAGCUCUGGGUCCCUCGGGAGGGACGCUGAGGUGCUGGAGCGGGUCCAGACAAGGGCAACAGAGCUGGUGAGGGGUCUGGAGCACAAGUCCUGUGAGGAGCGGCUGAGGGAGCUGGUGGUGUUCACCUUGGAGAGAAGGAGGCUCAGGACUGACCUUAUCAUUCUGCAGCUCCGUGAAAGGAAGUUAUAGCCAGGCAGAAGGAAAGGACUGGUGGGUACCCCCUCAGUGUGAAAGAGGCUGUAGCUGGGCAGGAAGGACAGACAGACCUGGCAGUGACCUACUACAGGAACCUGCAGUCCUGCCUGGGCAGGACAGUGCCUGUGCUCUGCUCCCUUCCUGCUGCUGCACUCUGGAGAAGCCAAACCUCAGAAGGACAAGAGCAGGACACAUGGCAUGAGCUUUCACAGCUGGAAGGGAAAGCAGGUCCUGGCCAUGCCCUGCUGCUGUGAGAGGCUCACCCAGCUCAGCUGCAGCAGCGCAGGAUGAGAACUGGAGCUUUAGCAGCACUCGGUGCAUUUGGCAGGAGGGUCCUGUACCACCGGGAAACUCCUGUCUGCAUGCAAAAGGUGAGACAAAAUGCAUAAUAACCUUGGCUAUUCAAGUCUCCUGCUCUAAGUGACGCUCGGACAGACUUUUAGGCUGCUCGCUUUUAGUGCUUUCUGACAGAGGAGGGAGCUGUCAGCUCAGCUUUGAGUUGCUCAGCAGGCAGACGUGCCCACCCGGGAGCUGACUAAGCUGUCCGGGCAGCCCACUGAAGGGAGAUGUUAAGCCUGACUUGCAGGAGGUGGAAUGCUAACCUGAAAGUGCUUAAAUCUUUUGCUUUAAGUGCAUCUAUGGGGUGUUUUGUGUCCCUGUACAAUGAAAACCACAGUCACCGGCCUGCAGGGACAGUGGGAGCAGCAGACUUGAGCUGUUUGAAGGUGGAACAUUUGGCAGUGGGGUCUUGCACUUUCCCUGGAAAACUGGAGCCUGUGCAAGACCUUCCUGUUAAUGUCCAGAGCCAGAGCAGCCUCCUCUGUGCCUGGGCGAUGCAAGCAGCCCUUUUAUCUGGGAGACCUGCCAGGCAGCAGAAGCAGGCAAGGAAACAGCAAAGUUAGACUGGUCUGAGGUUGACUCAAGCCAAUAUGAACUGGUCUGAAGUGGAAUAACAACCCGAUCCUAUCAGCCAUUUCUCCUGGUACGACCCGUCAGUAGCCUUCCUGCCUCAGCCGGUGGCAGUGUUACGAGGUAUGGCUUAAUUACAGCCCUGAAAUAAAAAAGAAUUUCUUCAUUA